Callithrix jacchus (white-tufted-ear marmoset) is the source of this 148-nucleotide unclassified non-coding RNA. It matches the Rfam family "Metazoan signal recognition particle RNA". Rfam says of the family: The signal recognition particle (SRP) is a universally conserved ribonucleoprotein. It is involved in the co-translational targeting of proteins to membranes. The eukaryotic SRP consists of a 300-nucleotide 7S RNA and six proteins: SRPs 72, 68, 54, 19, 14, and 9. Lineage: Eukaryota; Metazoa; Chordata; Mammalia; Primates; Cebidae. The record is from Ensembl.
GCUGGGCAUGGUGGUGCAUGCCUGUAAUCCCAGCUACUCAGGAGGCUGAGGCAGGAGAAUCGCUUGAACCCAGGAGGCGGAGGUUGCAGUGAGCCAGGAUCACACCACUGCUCUCCAGCCUGGGUAAUAGAGUGGGACUCUUUCUCAA